AUCCAUCUGACGAGUCCUAAAUAGGACGAAACGCUCACCUUGGAU
Non-coding RNA from Schistosoma curassoni, 45 nucleotides. The record is from Rfam. NCBI's taxonomy places the organism in Eukaryota, Metazoa, Platyhelminthes, Trematoda, Strigeidida, Schistosomatidae.